This 67-nucleotide transfer RNA is filed under the name Megachile strupigera. Its description in RNAcentral is "tRNA-Phe". The record is from RNAcentral. Lineage: Eukaryota; Metazoa; Arthropoda; Insecta; Hymenoptera; Megachilidae.
AUUUAAAUAGCUUAUAAAGAGCAUAAUAUUGAAGAUAUUAAGGAAAUUUUUUUAAAAUUUUUAAAUA